CCUACGGGCGGCAGCAGUGAGGAAUAUUGGUCAAUGGUCGGGAGACUGAACCAGCCAAGCCGCGUGAGGGAUGCAGGUACAGAGUAUCGUAAACCUCUUUUGUCAGGGUACAAAGGCGGGGACGCGUCCCCGGAUGAGUGUACCUGAAGAAAAAGCAUCGGCUACCUCCGUGCCAGCAGCCGCGGUACUACGGGGGAUGCGAGCGUUAUCCGGGUUUAUUGGGUUUAAAGGGUGCGCAGGCGGUCUGUUAAGUCAGCGGGAAAAGCCCGGGGCUCAACCCCGGCCCGCCGUUGAAACUGGCAGUCUCGAGUGGGAGAGAAGUAUGCGGAAUGCGCGGUGUAGCGGUGAAAUGCAUAGAUAUCGCGCAGAACUCCGAUUGCGAAGGCAGCAUGCCGGCUCCACACUGACGCUGAGGCACGAAAGCGUGGGUAUCGAACAGGAUUAGAUACCCUUGUAGUC
This 459-nucleotide ribosomal RNA is filed under the name uncultured bacterium. RNAcentral's name for it is "partial 16S ribosomal RNA". It matches the Rfam family "Bacterial small subunit ribosomal RNA", at positions 338 to 795 of the family's 1533-position model. The record is from RNAcentral.